Molecule: ribosomal RNA, 225 nt
Filed under: Salmonella enterica subsp. enterica serovar Agona
Lineage: Bacteria; Pseudomonadati; Pseudomonadota; Gammaproteobacteria; Enterobacterales; Enterobacteriaceae
Description: partial 23S ribosomal RNA
Rfam family: Bacterial large subunit ribosomal RNA
Source: RNAcentral
AAAGAAGGCGUAAAAGCUCCCUGGCCGAGUCGGCCUGCGCGGAAGAUGUAACGGGGCUAAACCAUGCACCGAAGCUGCGGCAGCGACACUCAGGUGUUGUUGGGUAGGGGAGCGUUCUGUAAGCCUGCGAAGGUGGCCUGUGAGGGUUGCUGGAGGUAUCAGAAGUGCGAAUGCUGACAUAAGUAACGAUAAAGCGGGUGAAAAGCCCGCUCGCCGGAAGACCAA